GGUUAAGCGACUAAGCGUACACGGUGGAUGCCCUGGCAGUCAGAGGCGAUGAAGGACGUGCUAAUCUGCGAAAAGCGUCGGUAAGGUGAUAUGAACCGUUACAGCCGGCGAUGUCCGAAUGGGGAAACCCAGUGCAAUUCGUUGCACUAUCGUUAACUGAAUACAUAGGUUAACGAGGCGAACCGGGGGAACUGAAACAUCUAAGUACCCCGAGGAAAAGAAAUCAACCGAGAUUCCCCCAGUAGCGGCGAGCGAACGGGGAGCAGCCCAGAGUCUGAAUCAGCUUGUGUGUUAGUGGAACGGUCUGGAAAGUCCGACGGUACAGGGUGAUAGUCCCGUACACCAAAAUGCACAGGCUGUGAACUCGAAGAGUAGGGCGGGACACGUGGUAUCCUGUCUGAAUAUGGGGGGACCAUCCUCCAAGGCUAAAUACUCCUGACUGACCGAUAGUGAACCAGUACCGUGAGGGAAAGGCGAAAAGAACCCCGGCGAGGGGAGUGAAAAAGAACCUGAAACCGUGUACGUACAAGCAGUGGGAGCACCUUCGGGUGUGACUGCGUACCUUUUGUAUAAUGGGUCAGCGACUUAUAUUCUGUAGCAAGGUUAACCGUAUAGGGGAGCCGCAGGGAAACCGAGUCUUAACUGGGCGUUAAGUUGCAGGGUAUAGACCCGAAACCCGGUGAUCUAGCCAUGGGCAGGUUGAAGGUUGGGUAACACUAACUGGAGGACCGAACCGACUAAUGUUGAAAAAUUAGCGGAUGACUUGUGGCUGGGGGUGAAAGGCCAAUCAAACCGGGAGAUAGCUGGUUCUCCCCGAAAGCUAUUUAGGUAGCGCCUCGUGAACUCAUCUUCGGGGGUAGAGCACUGUUUCGGCUAGGGGGUCAUCCCGACUUACCAACCCGAUGCAAACUACGAAUACCGAAGAAUGUUAUCACGGGAGACACACGGCGGGUGCUAACGUCCGUCGUGAAGAGGGAAACAACCCAGACCGCCAGCUAAGGUCCCAAAGUCAUGGUUAAGUGGGAAACGAUGUGGGAAGGCACAGACAGCCAGGAUGUUGGCUUAGAAGCAGCCAUCAUUUAAAGAAAGCGUAAUAGCUCACUGGUCGAGUCGGCCUGCGCGGAAGAUGUAACGGGGCUAAACCAUGCACCGAAGCUGCGGCAGCGACACUAUGUGUUGUUGGGUAGGGGAGCGUUCUGUAAGCCUGCGAAGGUGACCUGUGAGGGUUGCUGGAGGUAUCAGAAGUGCGAAUGCUGACAUAAGUAACGAUAAAGCGGGUGAAAAGCCCGCUCGCCGGAAGACCAAGGGUUCCUGUCCAACGUUAAUCGGGGCAGGGUGAGUCGACCCCUAAGGCGAGGCCGAAAGGCGUAGUCGAUGGGAAACAGGUUAAUAUUCCUGUACUUGGUGUUACUGCGAAGGGGGGACGGAGAAGGCUAUGUUAGCCGGGCGACGGUUGUCCCGGUUUAAGCAUGUAGGCUGGUUAUCCAGGCAAAUCCGGAUAAUCAAGGCUGAGGUGUGAUGACGAGGCACUACGGUGCUGAAGUAACAAAUGCCCUGCUUCCAGGAAAAGCCUCUAAGCAUCAGGUAACAUCAAAUCGUACCCCAAACCGACACAGGUGGUCAGGUAGAGAAUACCAAGGCGCUUGAGAGAACUCGGGUGAAGGAACUAGGCAAAAUGGUGCCGUAACUUCGGGAGAAGGCACGCUGGUGUGUAGGUGAAGUCCCUGCGGAUGGAGCUGAGACCAGUCGAAGAUACCAGCUGGCUGCAACUGUUUAUUAAAAACACAGCACUGUGCAAACACGAAAGUGGACGUAUACGGUGUGACGCCUGCCCGGUGCCGGAAGGUUAAUUGAUGGGGUUAUCCGUAAGGAGAAGCUCUUGAUCGAAGCCCCGGUAAACGGCGGCCGUAACUAUAACGGUCCUAAGGUAGCGAAAUUCCUUGUCGGGUAAGUUCCGACCUGCACGAAUGGCGUAAUGAUGGCCAGGCUGUCUCCACCCGAGACUCAGUGAAAUUGAACUCGCUGUGAAGAUGCAGUGUACCCGCGGCAAGACGGAAAGACCCCGUGAACCUUUACUAUAGCUUGACACUGAACAUUGAGCCUUGAUGUGUAGGAUAGGUGGGAGGCUUUGAAGCGUGGACGCCAGUCUGCGUGGAGCCAACCUUGAAAUACCACCCUUUAAUGUUUGAUGUUCUAACGUUGGCCCCUUACCGGGGUUGCGGACAGUGUCUGGUGGGUAGUUUGACUGGGGCGGUCUCCUCCCAAAGCGUAACGGAGGAGCACGAAGGUUAGCUAAUCCUGGUCGGACAUCAGGAGGUUAGUGCAAUGGCAUAAGCUAGCUUGACUGCGAGCGUGACGGCGCGAGCAGGUGCGAAAGCAGGUCAUAGUGAUCCGGUGGUUCUGAAUGGAAGGGCCAUCGCUCAACGGAUAAAAGGUACUCCGGGGAUAACAGGCUGAUACCGCCCAAGAGUUCAUAUCGACGGCGGUGUUUGGCACCUCGAUGUCGGCUCAUCACAUCCUGGGGCUGAAGUAGGUCCCAAGGGUAUGGCUGUUCGCCAUUUAAAGUGGUACGCGAGCUGGGUUUAGAACGUCGUGAGACAGUUCGGUCCCUAUCUGCCGUGGGCGCUGGAGAAUUGAGGGGGGCUGCUCCUAGUACGAGAGGACCGGAGUGGACGCAUCACUGGUGUUCGGGUUGUCAUGCCAAUGGCACUGCCCGGUAGCUAAAUGCGGAAGAGAUAAGUGCUGAAAGCAUCUAAGCACGAAACUUGCCCCGAGAUGAGUUCUCCCUGAGACUUUAAGUCUCCUGAAGGAACGUUAAAGACGAUGACGUUGAUAGGCCGGGUGUGUAAGCGCAGCGAUGCGUUGAGCUAACCGGUACUAAUGAACCGUGAGGCUUAACCUU
Molecule: ribosomal RNA, 2902 nt
Filed under: Klebsiella pneumoniae
Lineage: Bacteria; Pseudomonadati; Pseudomonadota; Gammaproteobacteria; Enterobacterales; Enterobacteriaceae
Description: 23S ribosomal RNA
Rfam family: Bacterial large subunit ribosomal RNA
Source: RNAcentral